RNAcentral lists this ribosomal RNA (744 nucleotides) under uncultured Methylotenera sp. Its description in RNAcentral is "bacterial SSU rRNA". It matches the Rfam family "Bacterial small subunit ribosomal RNA", at positions 21 to 759 of the family's 1533-position model. Lineage: Bacteria; Pseudomonadati; Pseudomonadota; Betaproteobacteria; Nitrosomonadales; Methylophilaceae. The record is from RNAcentral.
GGCUCAGAUUGAACGCUGGCGGAAUGCUUUACACAUGCAAGUCGAACGGCAGCACGGGAGCUUGCUCCUGGUGGCGAGUGGCGAACGGGUGAGUAAUAUAUCGGAACGUAUCCAAUAAUGGGGGAUAACUAGUCGAAAGAUUAGCUAAUACCGCAUACGCCCUGAGGGGGAAAGCUGGGGAUCUUCGGACCUAGCGUUAAUGGAGCGGCCGAUAUCUGAUUAGCUAGUAGGUGAGGUAAGAGCUCACCUAGGCGACGAUCAGUAGCUGGUCUGAGAGGACGACCAGCCACACUGGAACUGAGACACGGUCCAGACUCCUACGGGAGGCAGCAGUGGGGAAUUUUGGACAAUGGGCGCAAGCCUGAUCCAGCCAUUCCGCGUGAGUGAAGAAGGCCUUCGGGUUGUAAAGCUCUUUCGCAAGGGAAGAAAACUUAAGCUCUAACAUAGCUUGAGGCUGACGGUACCUUGAUAAGAAGCACCGGCUAACUACGUGCCAGCAGCCGCGGUAAUACGUAGGGUGCGAGCGUUAAUCGGAAUUACUGGGCGUAAAGCGUGCGCAGGCGGCCUGAUAAGUCAGAUGUGAAAUCCCCGAGCUCAACUUGGGAACUGCGUUUGAAACUAUCAAGCUAGAAUAUGUCAGAGGGGGGUAGAAUUCCACGUGUAGCAGUGAAAUGCGUAGAGAUGUGGAGGAAUACCAAUGGCGAAGGCAGCCCCCUGGGAUAAUAUGACGCUCAUGCACGAAAG